GACGAACGCUGGCGGCGUGCCUAAUACAUGCAAGUAGAACGCACAGUUUAUACCGUAGCUUGCUACACCAUAGACUGUGAGUUGCGAACGGGUGAGUAACGCGUAGGUAACCUGCCUGGUAGCGGGGGAUAACUAUUGGAAACGAUAGCUAAUACCGCAUAAUAUUAAUUAUUGCAUGAUAAUUAAUUGAAAGGUGCAAUUGCACCACUACCAGAUGGACCUGCGUUGUAUUAGCUAGUAGGUGAGGUAACGGCUCACCUAGGCGACGAUACAUAGCCGACCUGAGAGGGUGAUCGGCCACACUGGGACUGAGACACGGCCCAGACUCCUACGGGAGGAAGCAGUAGGGAAGCUUCGGCAAUGGACGAAAGUCUGACCGAGAAACGCCGCGGGAGUGAAGAAGGUUUUCGGAUCGUAAAGCACUGUUGUAAGAGAAGAACGGGUGUGAGAGUGGAAAGUUCACACUGUGACGGUAUCUUACCAGAAAGGGACGGCUAACUACGUG
Molecule: ribosomal RNA, 505 nt
Filed under: uncultured bacterium
Lineage: Bacteria
Description: partial 16S ribosomal RNA
Rfam family: Bacterial small subunit ribosomal RNA
Source: RNAcentral